Small nucleolar RNA from Cuculus canorus (common cuckoo), 68 nucleotides. RefSeq annotates it as small nucleolar RNA SNORD58. The transcript has a single exon. The record is from RefSeq and is a predicted model, not a curated record. NCBI's taxonomy places the organism in Eukaryota, Metazoa, Chordata, Aves, Cuculiformes, Cuculidae.
UUGCUGUGAUGACUAUCUUGGGACACCUUUGGAACCAACACCUAUGAAAAUAAAGUUUUUUCUGUAAA